Molecule: non-coding RNA, 1821 nt
Organism: Lactuca sativa (garden lettuce)
Lineage: Eukaryota; Viridiplantae; Streptophyta; Magnoliopsida; Asterales; Asteraceae
Source: RefSeq, a predicted model, not a curated record
UUAUUUCUUGCGGUUCCUAAUAUCUUUUUCUUUUCUCUUCCUUUUUCAUUCAUCGUCUCCUUCCGUUUCUCCGCUUCACUCCGUAUUUCUCUCUUAGGUAAUAUUCCUAUGUUAUUCUUCUUUUCUUUCCUCUACUGUCAUAAUUUUGCUUGCUCUCUUCCCGAUGUGUCGUCGUUUUAUUAUGUCAUGGUUGUUCCGGCAAAGCAGACUGCUGACGACGCCGCUUCAUCGUCGAUUGUUGUCCCUAUUGGUCACUACCGGAAGUUUCGACGUCUUGAUGGCCUCUCUGUCCUUCCCCACUACCUCGACUGUGGUGACUGUAGCUGGGUUUGUGAGUUUUGUGGUGUGUUUUUUUGGUAUGUCGAGAGGGCUCUUAUGGAUCGAUGUCUUAUUUCAGAAUGAAAGGGUUUCAACAUCGAUUUAUGACUUCCAGGACCAAUCGAUUGGUUGUUGAUUACAAAUAUAUGUUUUCAUAUAGCAUCGAUUGCAUCGUCGGACAAUGAAGCAGAAGAAUCAACGACAGAAGAAGAGGAAAGGUAUGAAGGAUGUGAGGUUUACCAAACUACUAUUUUUGGGCUAGGACAUUCCACAUGUGUAGCCAUUGGUGGGGAUCAUUUUAAUGGGACCAACUUCAUUGACUGCAUGAGAAAAUUCAUGGUUAAUCCUCAUACACAAGAUGUGUAUAAAGUUUCUUGGUUGGCUGGCCGUUCACUUCAAGGGGUUAAUCAGAGGUUAAAAGAUCGAUGCAGGGUAUGAUUUCAAGGUUUAUGUUGUUUGUUUUUGUUGAUUGUUUUGCAUAGUUUUUUGAAGUUUUGAAUUGAGAAUUUAUUGGUUAUUUUGAUUGCAGAGUUUGUUUGACACAUAAAUCCAUUUUUAUCAUAAGGAUAAAAUGGUACAAUGAAUAGUAUUUGGUCCUAAGUUUAAAUGUAGAAAAAAGGAAUUUCUUUGAUAUUCAGUGGAUGAGCAAGAAAACUGAAAAAUGUGAGAAAGAAAUAUGAAUGAUUUUUUGAUGAAGAUAGGCUUCAAGGGCCAUGGAAAUUGCAUUAAUACAGAAAUUAAACAAAUUCAUGGAGUAUGCAUUUGGCGAAAAUGGUGCCAAUUUCAUCAACCAUUUUGUCUCUCCGAUCUGCAACAAUGUUAGAUGGGUUGCUUCGGGGCAGUCAUUUCACCUCCAAAUGGUUUACAAAUGUUACACAGCCUAAUGAGAGACAUUAUAGAUAAGAGUUCAUGAAGAUUCCAACAUUAGGAAAGCUUCUCAAGGUAAGUAUUAGAAAGUGUGAGAAAGUUAAUAUCAUACACAAAUUGUUAAAUCACCAUAUUAUCCAUGGCAAGUCUUUGAGUUUCUGGCUGAACGAAAGAUUCUUACACUGCAAAAUAUCUUAAAACCUUCUCCUAAUGGGCCAAAAGGUUUGAACAAAUUAUGAAUACACUUAUUUUUUAUAUAUUAAAAUUUAAAAUAUUUUAUAGUUUUGCUUCCUUCGAUAAUGAAACUCCUGUUGGUUUCUUUUUCAGCUCCAAGGAAUAGAUUUUGUCAUUGACAGAGCAUAGGGACAAACAUGUUGGUUUUAAAAUGUUGACUCCAAAAUAGCAAUAUAUUUUUGUAUAUGUGUGCAUUAAGUUUUUUGUUUUUUUUGGUCCAUUAGGUCCAUCAAAUUAGUUGAAAUCCCCGUGACAAGUGGAUUCGAUGAUAGUAAUUUUCAUUAUGAAGUGCACACUUGGUGAAGAAAAAAUGCACAUCGAUAUGUCGCCUGAACAUGGCAGCCUAAUCGAUAUGUACACAAAUAGCACAUGUUGUUUCUUAAUUUAUUAGUUUGCGUUGAA